AGGGUUCGAUUCUGGCUCAGGACGAACGCUGGCGGCGGGCCUAACACAUGCAAGUCGAACGAACUCGACCUUCGGGUCAUAUAGUGAGUGGCGAACGGGUGAGUAACACGUGAGAAACCUGCCCCGAAGACUGGAACAACCCGAGGAAACUCGGGCUAAUACCGGAUACCCCCAUCGGAUCGCAUGAUCUGAUGAGGAAAUGCUCCGGCGCUUCGGGAGGGUCUCGCGGCCUAUCAGCUAGUUGGUGAGGUAACGGCUCACCAAGGCAACGACGGGUAGCUGGUCUGAGAGGACGAUCAGCCACACUGGGACUGAGACACGGCCCAGACUCCUACGGGAGGCAGCAGUGGGGAAUAUUGCGCAAUGGGCGAAAGCCUGACGCAGCCACGCCGCGUGAGGGAUGAAGGCUCUAGGGUUGUAAACCUCUUUAGGCAGGGAAGAAAAUGACGGUACCUGCAGAAUAAGGUCCGGCCAACUACGUGCCAGCCGCCGCGGUAAUU
This 500-nucleotide ribosomal RNA is filed under the name uncultured bacterium. RNAcentral's name for it is "bacterial SSU rRNA". It matches the Rfam family "Bacterial small subunit ribosomal RNA", at positions 8 to 525 of the family's 1533-position model. The record is from RNAcentral.